UUUCAGUAGAGAUGGGAUUUCACCAUGUUGGCCAGGCUGGUCUCGAACUCCGGUCCUCAAGUAAUCUGCCUGCCUUGGGCUCCCAAAGUGCUGGGAUUAUAAGGCAUGAGCCACCACGCCCAGCCAACACCCAAUUUAUUUAUUUAUUUAUUUAUUUUUUUGAGACGGAGUCUCGCUCUGUUUCCCAGGCUGGAAUGCAGUGGCUAGAUCUUGGCUCACUGCAACCUCUGCCUCCCGGGUUCAAGCAAUUCUUGUGCCUCAGCCUCCCGAGUAGCUGGGACUACAGGUGUGUGCCAGUAUGGCCGGUUAAUUUUUGUAUUUUUGGUAGAGAUGGGGUUUCACCAUGUUGGCCAGGCUUGUCUUGAACUCUUGACCUCAGGUGAUCCGCCUGCCUCGGCCUCCCAAAGUGCUGGGAUUGUAGGCAUGAGCCACCAUGCCUGGCCUAACACCCAAAAUUUUUACUGGGAGCUGGUCACUUAGUACCGUCUGCUUAGCACAUACCAGAAUUCCAAACCCUGCGAAGCAAAGCCUGUGUUCAGCAUAAACCACGUUGUUUGCAUAGUCUAUGCACAGGGAGCCACCCAUAUCAGCUAACUGUUGACUGGGAGCGAAGUUGGCCAAGGGUCAACAUUGCAAGGAGACCUUUCUAUGGAUAGUAGUCUCUCAGGCCUUCAGUGUUAACUCUUUUCUGCACAGGGUGAAAAAAGAAAUGACACUCCCUGCUCCAGAAUCAGAUCAUAGUUAUUCUAUGGUACUGGAUAUGGAGGUUGUGGUUGAUGAUUCAGGGAUCUUCAUUUUUGCUGUUUUUCUUUUCCAGAAUGGCUUUGACUACUUACUGACAUACAGUGACAAUCCCCAAACGGUGUUUCCUCGCUACUGUGUUAGUUGGAUGGUUUCCAGUGGCAUGCCAGAUUUCCUGGAGAAGCUGCACAUGGCCACUCUGAAAGCCAAGAAUAUGGAGAUUAAAGUAAAGGACUACAUCUCAGCUAAGCCUCUGGAAAUGAGUAGUGAAGCCAAGGCCACCAGCCAGUCCUCUGAGCGAAAGAACGAGGGCAGCUGUGGCCCUGCUCGGAUUGAGUAUGCUUGACAGGCUUUGGGAUAAGAAGGGACAGGUGCUUCUAGCCCUGUCUCAGUCUGUUAUCACUCUGCUGUAGAAGGGGGACAUGCCACAUGUAUUAGAAGGCAUCUGCUGUAACUUCCAGUGCAAGAUAAUUCAAUAACUGAUGUCCCAUUUCAUUCAGAGCCCUUAUUGCUCUUAUCAAAACAGAAGAAGGCUACAUUUGUGGGAGUGUUGUCAUAUUCUCAGGCCAACUAUUUUGAAAUUCGGUAUCUCACUGAGCUAAUCUGGAACAAACCUCUCACCUCAGGCCAGAAGGGGAUGACCUCCAUUUGCUUCUCUGAGUAGUUUCCUCUGCUGACAUUCCAAAUCCCACCAUCGAUUGUGCAGCGCUUUGGAUUUCCUUCAGUUCUCCAGGUCCACCUGGAAAGUAUAGUUGGCCAGUUGAGUCUCUCAAAUGAGGGGCUACUGGGAGUGCUCUUGGUAACAAUCAUGAUGUGAAUGGGUGUGAACGAUACUUGGCUAUGUUAAGUGCCUUGUCCGCACCUUGCUUUUAUCUCUAGGGACAUGAAGUUAUUAUUAAUUUUUUUUUUUUUUUUUAAGUAGAGAUGGAGUUUCACUCUGUUUCCCAGGCUGGUCUUGAACUCCUGGGCCAUGCCUGGCCAGGGACAUGAAUUUGUACAAAGAAAUUUCCCUCCCUGCCUGCACAAUAUCACCCAUUGAUUCACCUUAUCCAAAGCAAGUUUCCUGUGAAUCGGCCAGUUCUUCUAUAUUCAUUGGAUCAUUGCCUCCUUCCUAACCUUCCCCAUUUACCAAGAACACUGGGAGACUAAUCCUUUUAGAUAGUAGCUUUUUGAUGCUCAAAACAUCACAUUUAAAUUUAGUUUAAACAUUUUUUAACUUUUGUGUCAAAUAGGAGUUGAGGAAUUGAGCAGGAUUCUACCCUAGUCCGAUUGUAUAGAAAACACCAUUUUGAUUCAGGUAUUAUUUUUCAUAUUUCAGGUUUGACUUGUUCUUUCAGAAGGCUAAAGGCAGAGGAAUGGGGGCUGGGCCACUCCCUUGGAGCUCUCAGAUCUACAGACAAGCUGUGUGAAUGCAUAGAUGUAAUCUUGUCUCAAAUACUAAUACAGUGGAGAUUUGGUUUAUGUUACCAUUAAGUUCCUCUCAAAAGUUUUUCUUCCUCUCUUCAGAGCCAAAAUAAAAGUGAACUACACUGUUCAGAUAAGGUCACAAUCUGAUGCUGUCAGUUUGACCGAGCUGGUUUUGCUUAUGGUCAUGCUGCAAUUUGUUAGAAUAAUAGGGAUCAAGUUUUAAAUCCUCCUCCUUCCCUUUUUUCUGGAGUCUUGAGGGCCAGAGUUUUUGUUUUUGUUUUUUUUUUUUUUUUCCUGCUUGCUACUGUUUUGUGGUGUUGAAAAGUGGUUUAAACCUGAGACUAACUUAAACACUUCCUUGACCUUCUUGUUGCCUGUUCAUUUUUGUGCCAAGGAAGUAGCUGCCCCAGUGUAUGUCUUGCCUUCUCCGCGUCAUUGUUGGAAGAGGAGAGAUGCAUCGAGCAGUCCCAGCUGCUUUUCAUUUAUUACUUCUCUCUUCUUUCCAGGACCUGACAGAAGUCAGGGAAGAGUCCCUGGGUUAUGUCCAAACUUAGCACCUGCAAUUGUUGGGAUGUGGAUGGAUGUGUGCAUAAGAGAGAGAGAGAAUAUGUGUGUGUGUGUGUGUGUGUCUGCGAGCGCACACACAUGCACAAGUGCGAAGGAGUUGCGGUUGCUCCAUGUUCUGACUUAGGGCAAUUUGAUUCUGCACUUGGGGUCUGUCUGUACAGUUACUCAUGUCAUUGUAAUGAUUUCACUCCUAACUGUGACAUUUUUAUCAAAUGUGUGAAUAAAUACAUAAAGAUUGGUAC
RNAcentral lists this small RNA (2957 nucleotides) under Pan troglodytes (chimpanzee). RNAcentral describes it as "retained intron". The record is from RNAcentral. Lineage: Eukaryota; Metazoa; Chordata; Mammalia; Primates; Hominidae.